Molecule: long non-coding RNA, 3104 nt
Filed under: Sus scrofa (pig)
Lineage: Eukaryota; Metazoa; Chordata; Mammalia; Artiodactyla; Suidae
Description: lncRNA (ENSSSCG00000063350.1)
Source: RNAcentral
UUUGCUUACUGUUGCAAAGAAAUUGGCCAGGUGAGCAUCUGAACUCAGAUGUAAGUGUUGGAGAAACUCAAAGAGAAGGAGCAUCUGUUGUAAUAGAGCUGAGCAAUGACUUGGCUGCCAGAAAAGCCAGACUUUGUGGGAAGGGCCAAAGGUGAGUGGGAGAGAACUAUCUAGAAUAUUUGCUGUGGGAAAGAAAAGAGUAUGCAAUUUGGUGAGAAGAAUGGCUAUCAAAUAAUGAAAUAGGCCAUUUUGUGAGGAGAAUGGUGUCUAAAAUUUUAUAACAAUCAUAGUGGGUGAGAUCUUUUCUACUGUCAUGAAAUUAGAAGCACCUACUGUUACUGGUAAUAACAACUCCUGACCUGAGUAUAUCAAAUAAAUUCUUCAAGGGCUGGAAAAUUACUGUUGUCAUGGAGAACUGAAACUGUCGGACUGAAGAGAACUUUUCUGUAGGAUUUAGAACAGUCUGAGUUGCUGCUUUUUAAUGUUACCAUCACCAAAGAGAAAUGGAUAUUCUAGAUGAUAAAGUUUGCUUACAAUCUAAAAAUUUUUAGUAUCUGGGAAAAAGUCAUCUGAUCAAUAAUCUCAACUUGCGUCACUGUUUUUCAAAGAGCCAUUUUUUUUUCAAUGUUUCAAAAUAGUAUGAGUUCAUAUUAAUCAUUUUUGGAGGACAGAAGGAACAAAUGGUAUCCAUAGAACUGAGAAGGUAUCUUGAGACCAAAAAACAAGACAGACAGCUCCAUAUUAUCAGUGGAUCCAUUUAUUAUAGGGUAACUUACCUACAGGGUAGUAUUGGUUUCUUGACAAUCUGGAAGCAUUCACAGCUUCAUUCUGCACUGCUGAGGGGCCACUGGGACAAAAUAGGAAGUGCUUUGAAAAUAGGAAGUGCAUUCCUAGGCCAAGAUUUAUGAAUGGGUAAGUAGGCUCUUGGGCCCUGGAAAUCAGCUAAAGUCUUCAUAGUUUGGAGACUAACAGAACAUCGAGGCCAGCUAUACCUAAAGAUCUUUAAACAAUAUCUAUUUGUGACAAAGACGACAAAGAAGAGAUUUACUACACAGCACAGCCCUAAGUAGGGCCAAUAGAAGGACAGGAGGAACUAAACAGGCCCAAAUGACAUCACUUAUGCUAAUAGCUAUACAACCAUAUAAACUACUGUGUUCAUUACCAUUAUAAAAGUGAAUGAAUACUUACUUAGAAUUAGGUAGUUUAUUGAAUUAAAUGUCUUGAAUUAGUUGUAAAUAGCAUUUAAAAAAAACCAAAAUGAUUCUAAAAUUAAAGGGAUAAAAGAAUAAAAUGGUUAAAUUAUAUAUCUUUAUAAGCAAUAUUAAAUUUAGGAAAAUUUAAUAUAACUUCAUAUUUAUUAUUCCUCAUUGAAAAAUAUAUUUCCUGUAAAAAAAUCAAAUGAAAAUUCAGGUAGGGAUAUAUUUAAUAAAAUUGAGUUUAAAAAACUAUUAUAAUUGCAGAUACUGAGAAAUUUGAAAGACUCUGAAUAGGUGUUAUUGAGUAAGCACAGUUAUCUAGGUAACUAAUUCAUUCCUAAUAUAUCUAUUCAACAUAAGUGUAUUGAACACCUACCACAUGUCACUGGCAGAAAUGGCAUUGAACAAAUCUUACAAAAAACUUUGUCCUCAGAGACUGUACAUAAAUAUUGCCAUUAUAUACUCAUUACAUCUUAAUUAGUUAUAUAUUAGAUUAAAUAUUAAUAUCAUGACUACUAUUUGGCUUUGAUUAUAAAAUCUUCAAAAAAUACUGUUAGAACAUUUCCAUCACCUAAAAUAUUCUAUAUCUUGUUUGUGGUAGUGGUGGUAAUAUGGGUAUAUACACUUGUCAAAAGACAUCAAAAUUAAAAUUUAUAAUUAAACUGGACAGUUCAAACUAGUGGAUUAGAAUUAAAAUUGUCAUUCAUAAAUUAUAUCUUAAUAAAGUAGAAUUUAAGUGCUAAUAAAAUAUUUUUAUUUGUAUGCUUACACAUACAUACCUAAAUUUCACAAGUGUAUUUAUUUUUGAUGUGGAAAUAAAAAGAGACAGUGAAAAAGCGUGAGAAGGAGCUGUGGCUUGAUAUAAUUUGGGAGAUCUAGGGUAAUAUAUUUGUUGCAUUUUAGGAAUGUCAUUAUUAUUUAAAAUGAAGUAAUUUCAUCUUUACUUGCCCUUCAGAAUCUUAAGAUAAUAUUACUGAGGGCACUAAUAGAUGGCAUAGUGUAGGCCUCUUAUGAACUUUGGAUGAUUUAUGUAAAUUAUAUUCUCUUGCUAUAAUAUUUACCUUUCUUUGGAGCUUUAUUUGUAGGAAUAGUUUAUAAAGAAACAUGUUUUUGCAAAGAAAUAAAUAAAAUAAAAAUUAGUUUGUCUUCCGCUUAUCUGACACUCAUUAAGUUCUGUUAUAUGGUUUAAGAGAAUCAAAAUAGCACAUAUCCUACCUGUGAUUAAUGACAGAAUCAGUUCACAAGAGAAUUUACAGCUGAAGCCUCAGAGACUAGCUAUCUAAGUCUGUGCCACAAAUUAUAAAUGGUUGGGUUUAAGAGAGUAUCGGGGAAGGAAAGCAAGAACAGAGGCUGCUGACUUGAGUCCUUUUGAAUGGAACAAACUGAUAUUGGGCUAGAAACAGAUUCAUUGCUUUAUCCUCAAAUAGAAGAUUCACAUGUCACACCACUAACAAAUUCAGAAGGCAAAUGUGUUUCUGUUGUUUGUUUAAGAUUGUUCUAACAGCACAACGAAGCCCUUAUGUUGUAAUUACGUAAAAAUGAAGGCAGACUUAUCUGUUAAGAUAGAAAAUAGAGAAGAAAAUCAAUAUGAAUAACCUAAAACUAAGUUGCCAAAUAUGAGUAAUUAUGACUUAUAAUGAAAUAGCUGUGUUUCUUGCUAUUUUCUCUUGCGGGAAAUCUUUAUACCUACUUUCCCCUCCAUUUUUCUUAUGCAGUAAACAUUGACUUAUACCUCAAAGUUUAGCUCAUGUCUUACCUCAUCUUUGCUCCUUGCUUCAGUCUCUAUUUCUAUCCAGACUGCACUUUUAUCCUGGUUGGUCAUGAUACAGGUGUAUGGUCCUUGCCCAAGACAGUUACCAUAUAGUAUUAAAGUUAUUACCAGGGGGCAGCUCCUUAAUAAAGUAAUUG